UACGUAGGGCGCAAGCGUUAUCCGGAAUUAUUGGGCGUAAAGAGCUCGUAGGCGGUGUGUCACGUCGGCCGUGAAAACCUGCAGCUUAACUGUGGGCGUGCGGUCGAUACGGGCAUCACUGGAGUUCGGCAGGGGAGACUGGAAUUCCUGGUGUAGCGGUGAAAUGCGUAGAUAUCUGGAGGAACACCGGUGGCGAAGGCGGCGUCCUGGACCAACACUGACACUGAUGAGCGAAAGCCAGGGGAGCAAACGGG
This 254-nucleotide ribosomal RNA is filed under the name uncultured bacterium. RNAcentral describes it as "partial 16S ribosomal RNA". It matches the Rfam family "Bacterial small subunit ribosomal RNA", at positions 524 to 776 of the family's 1533-position model. The record is from RNAcentral.